This 460-nucleotide ribosomal RNA is filed under the name uncultured bacterium. RNAcentral describes it as "partial 16S ribosomal RNA". It matches the Rfam family "Bacterial small subunit ribosomal RNA", at positions 338 to 795 of the family's 1533-position model. The record is from RNAcentral.
CCUACGGGUGGCAGCAGUGAGGAAUAUUGGUCAAUGGACGAGCGUCUGAACCAGCCAAGUAGCGUGAAGGAUGACUGCCCUCUGGGUUGUAAACUUCUUUUAUCUGGGAAUAAAAUGUUCCCCGUGUGGGAUUUUGUAUGUACCAUAUGAAUAAGGAUCGGCUAAAUCCGUGCCAGCAGCCGCGGUAAUACGGAGGAUCCGUGCGUUGUCCGGAUUUAUUGGGUUUAAAGGGAGCGUAGGUGGAUUGUUAAGUCAGUUGUGAAAGUUUGCGGCUCAACCGUAAAAUUGCAGUUGAAACUGGCAGUCUUGAGUACAGUAGAGGUGGGCGGAAUUCGUGGUGUAGCGGUGAAAUGCUUAGAUAUCACGAAGAACUCCGAUUGCGAAGGCAGUUCACUGGACUGCAACUGACACUGAGGCUCGAAAGUGUGGGUAUCAAACAGGAUUAGAUACCCCUGUAGUC